This 253-nucleotide ribosomal RNA is filed under the name uncultured bacterium. Its description in RNAcentral is "partial 16S ribosomal RNA". It matches the Rfam family "Bacterial small subunit ribosomal RNA", at positions 524 to 776 of the family's 1533-position model. The record is from RNAcentral.
UACGUAGGGUGCAAGCGUUGUCCGGAAUUAUUGGGCGUAAAGAGCUCGUAGGCGGUCUGUCGCGUCUGCUGUGAAAACUCGGGGCUUAACCCCGAGCCUGCAGUGGAUACGGGCAGACUAGAGGUAGGUAGGGGAGAAUGGAAUUCCCGGUGUAGCGGUGAAAUGCGCAGAUAUCGGGAGGAACACCGGUGGCGAAGGCGAGUCUCUGGACAACUCCUGACACUGAGGCACGAAAGCUAGGGGAGCAAACAGG